AUGUUGUCUACCAAGACACAAUUUUUUUUUUGUUGGCUCAUACUAAAUGACAGGAUCAAUACAUGUGACCUUUUGAUUAGAAAGAGCAUGCACCUUGACUCCACUGUAUGUUCUCUAUGCAACAAUGAAGAUUAUGAAGAUAGGACUCAUCUUCUAUUCACUUGCCCAUAUAGUCAAGGAUUCUGGUGGAACAUUGGCUUUGAAUGGAGCUCUGAUUUGGAGAUCAACUCUAUGAUCAUUGAUGCUAAACACAAAUAUAAAACUGGCCACUUCAUGGAAAUCAUGAUUCUUGGAUGCUGGAGCAUAUGGAACCAAAGGAAUGGAUUGAUUUUUGAGGGGACACCUUGCUCAAUAAAUGAGUGUAAGAAUGACUUCAUUAGAUAUUUCAAGAUGACCAUGCUGAGGGCUAAACCCACUCUAAAAGAGGGCAUGUCCUCAUGGAUAGAUAAUAUUUAA
RNAcentral lists this ribosomal RNA (456 nucleotides) under Triticum aestivum (bread wheat). Its description in RNAcentral is "partial small subunit ribosomal RNA". Lineage: Eukaryota; Viridiplantae; Streptophyta; Magnoliopsida; Poales; Poaceae. The record is from RNAcentral.